GAUAAUUCAAACGAACUGGAGAGAGCUUAUUUUUCAGCACGCCUAACAUUUGUCGUCAUGUCCGGAAGGAGAUGUAUUCCUGCACCAUCGUCAAUUCCAAAACGGAGUAGAACUGAUGCGACAUCUAUUCCUAAACCGUCUGUUUGUCAAAAACCGUCUUUAAGACCAUCGAAAAUUGGUAUUGCUCGAGGAAAAGAUCAUGGAGUCCAUCCGCCGAGAGCAGUUGCGGCAAUUGUCCAACCACGAGCGGUUUGUCCAACGAGGUUCGAGAACAAACUGGAUACCACUUUUAAUGGUACUGUGCCUACAUUACCCUCAAAACCAACGUUUAAAAGUAAAGGUGCCGUUAUUUCAAAGACAAGAAAAACCCCUGAUAUGGUUUAUAAGACUCCAACUGAAGCUAGGCAGCAACUGACCAAAUUGCAGAAUGAAAAUGAAAUGUAUAAAGAAGAACUGAGAAAGGCAAAGGAAAAUAUACUUAAAUGUAACGAAAAGUGUGCAGAACUUCAGGAACAGCUUGAAAAUAAAAGAUUAGAGCAUUUAGCAACAAUAGAUGUUAUUGGUUCCAAGCUGAGAAGUACAGAAACCGAAAACAAGGAAUGUCUGAAACGAAUUGAUUCAUACACUGAGAAGAUAAAUUCAUUUCACAUUCAUCCAGUUACUCUCCAACCCCUGUUAUCACCUGCUGAAGAGGAAGAACUUAAACAGAAACGACAGGAAGCCAGGCGUAAGGCUGAAGAUUUUAUUGUGGAAAGCGAAAGAGAAAGUCAAUUAGACAGUGAUGAUGAUAAUAAUAAUGCAAGUAUAACUGCUUAACACGUUCAAUUUCUAAAAUGUGCUAUAAUAUGAGGUCAUCAGGAUUGCUGUGACAUGCAGGUUCUUCUGUUGUUGGACACGAUAAACGUAAAGCCCCUCUAUCCUGCAGAUGAAGCACAGUAGUCUGAGAAUAUGUUUUGUACUUGAUUAUAUAUGUGAACAAAUGCUAGGAUUUAUGUAAUAUUUAUCAUGUAUAUACGAUUUUCUUACACUACCAUGAUUGGUCCUGUGUGCUACCAUAUAUAUCUGUUCAACACAUGUAUACGUUGACAAUGCUUCUUUUAUGUGGCCGUUUAUUUGACUGGUAAAAAAAAAUUUUUUUUUACUUUUCUCAAGAAGCCCACAACAGAGAUAACAUGGAUCUUGCAAGAAGUUUAUAUUACAAUUGUAUUUUCUGAAUUAGGUUAUACUGCUGGUUUCCCCUAAUAUGAAUUUAUUUCACUUUAUUUACGUCAUAACAGUUGUUUGUGUAGAGUGAAUGAAAAUAAUAUUUUUUGUACUAAGACAUUUUAUCAAUGUGUAUAUAUUUAUGUAGAAUUAAUAAACAUGAUUGUUACCAA
Saccoglossus kowalevskii is the source of this 1376-nucleotide unclassified non-coding RNA. NCBI's taxonomy places the organism in Eukaryota, Metazoa, Hemichordata, Enteropneusta, Harrimaniidae. The record is from RefSeq and is a predicted model, not a curated record.